This 478-nucleotide ribosomal RNA is filed under the name uncultured bacterium. RNAcentral describes it as "partial 16S ribosomal RNA". It matches the Rfam family "Bacterial small subunit ribosomal RNA", at positions 28 to 507 of the family's 1533-position model. The record is from RNAcentral.
GAUGAACGCUAGCGGCAGGCCUAACACAUGCAAGUCGAGGGAGAAGCCCUUUCGGGGGCAGAAACCGGCGCACGGGUGCGUAACGCGUAUGCAACCUACCUUUCACAGGGGGAUAGCCCGAAGAAAUUUGGAUUAAUACCCCAUAAUAUUAUUGGAUGGCAUCAUUUGAUAUUUAAAACUGCGGUGGUGAAAGAUGGGCAUGCGUCCUAUUAGCUAGUUGGCGUGGUAACGGCACCCCAAGGCUACGAUAGGUAGGGGUCCUGAGAGGGAGAUCCCCCACACUGGUACUGAGACAGGGACCAGACUACUACGGGAGGCAGCAGUGAGGAAUAUUGGUCAAUGGUCGGAAGACUGAACCAGCCAUGCCGCGUGCAGGAAGAAUGCCUUAUGGGUUGUAAACUGCUUUUAUAUGGGAAGAAUAAGGCGUACGUGUACGUUGAUGACGGUACCAUAUGAAUAAGCAUCGGCUAACUCCGUG